GUGAGGAAUAUUGCGCAAUGGAGGCAACUCUGACGCAGCCAUGCCGCGUGCAGGAAGAAGGCGCUACGCGUUGUAAACUGCUUUUAACCGGGAAGAAACCCCAGGACGUGUCCUGGGUUGACGGUACCGGAGGAAUAAGCACCGGCUAACUUCGUGCCAGCAGCCGCGGUAAUACGAAGGGUGCAAGCGUUAUCCGGAUUCAUUGGGUUUAAAGGGUGCGUAGGCGGCGCGUUAAGUCAGUGGUGAAAUCCUGCAGCUUAACUGUAGACUUGCCAUUGAUACUGGCGCUCUUGAGUGCGCUUGAAGUGGGCGGAAUGUGCCGUGUAGCGGUGAAAUGCUUAGAUAUGGCACAGAACACCAAUUGCGAAGGCAGCUCACUAAGGCGAUACUGACGCUGAGGCACGAAAGCGUGGGGAUCGAACAGGAUUAGAAACCCCGGUAGUCC
This 445-nucleotide ribosomal RNA is filed under the name uncultured bacterium. RNAcentral's name for it is "partial 16S ribosomal RNA". It matches the Rfam family "Bacterial small subunit ribosomal RNA", at positions 354 to 796 of the family's 1533-position model. The record is from RNAcentral.